UACGAAGGGUGCAAGCGUUACUCGGAAUUACCGGGCGUAAAGCGUGCGUAGGUGGUGCGUUAAGUCUGUCGUGAAAGCCCCGGGCUCAACCUGGGAAUGGCGAUGGAUACUGGCGCGCUAGAGUGCGGUAGAGGAGAGUGGAAUUCCCGGUGUAGCAGUGAAAUGCGUAGAGAUCGGGAGGAACAUCAGUUGCGAAGGCGGCUCUCUGGACCAGCACUGACACUGAGGCACGAAAGCGUGGGGAGCAAACAGG
RNAcentral lists this ribosomal RNA (253 nucleotides) under uncultured bacterium. RNAcentral's name for it is "partial 16S ribosomal RNA". It matches the Rfam family "Bacterial small subunit ribosomal RNA", at positions 524 to 776 of the family's 1533-position model. The record is from RNAcentral.